Molecule: ribosomal RNA, 460 nt
Filed under: uncultured bacterium
Lineage: Bacteria
Description: partial 16S ribosomal RNA
Rfam family: Bacterial small subunit ribosomal RNA
Source: RNAcentral
CCUACGGGAGGCAGCAGUGAGGAAUAUUGGUCAAUGGCCGAGAGGCUGAACCAGCCAAGUAGCGUGCAGGAUGACGGCCCUACGGGUUGUAAACUGCUUUUAUACGGGAAUAACGCGCCUUACGUGUAGGGCUUUGCAUGUACCGUAUGAAUAAGGACCGGCUAAUUCCGUGCCAGCAGCCGCGGUAAUACGGAAGGUCCGGGCGUUAUCCGGAUUUAUUGGGUUUAAAGGGAGCGUAGGCCGCAUGUCAAGCGUGCUGUGAAAUGUCCGGGCUCAACCCGGGCCUUGCAGCGCGAACUGGCGUGCUUGAGUCCGCGGAAAGCAGGCGGAAUUCGUCGUGUAGCGGUGAAAUGCUUAGAUAUGACGAAGAACCCCGAUUGCGAAGGCAGCUUGCUGCAGCGGAACUGACGCUGAUGCUCGAAAGCGCGGGUAUCGAACAGGAUUAGAUACCCCUGUAGUC